GUGCCAGCAGCCGCGGUAAUACGAAGGGGGCUAGCGUUGUUCGGAAUUACUGGGCGUAAAGGGCGCGUAGGCGGCUUCAACAGUCGGGCGUGAAAUGCCUGGGCUUAACCCAGGAACUGCGUUCGAAACUGCGAGGCUAGAGUGUGGGAGAGGUUGGUGGAAUUCCCAGUGUAGAGGUGAAAUUCGUAGAUAUUGGGAAGAACACCGGUGGCGAAGGCGGCCAACUGGACCACAACUGACGCUGAGGCGCGAAAGCGUGGGGAGCAAACAGGAUUAGAUACCCUGGUAGUCC
This 292-nucleotide ribosomal RNA is filed under the name uncultured bacterium. Its description in RNAcentral is "partial 16S ribosomal RNA". It matches the Rfam family "Bacterial small subunit ribosomal RNA", at positions 505 to 796 of the family's 1533-position model. The record is from RNAcentral.